This 85-nucleotide transfer RNA is filed under the name Felis catus (domestic cat). It matches the Rfam family "tRNA". From Rfam's summary of the family: Transfer RNA (tRNA) molecules are approximately 80 nucleotides in length. Lineage: Eukaryota; Metazoa; Chordata; Mammalia; Carnivora; Felidae. The record is from Rfam by way of RNAcentral.
GCCUGGGUGGCUCAGUCGGUUGAGCGUCCGACUUCGGCUCAGGUCAUAAUCUCACGGUUCGUGGGUUCGAGCCCCACGUCGGGCU